Helianthus annuus (common sunflower) is the source of this 776-nucleotide long non-coding RNA. RefSeq lists it as uncharacterized. The record is from RefSeq and is a predicted model, not a curated record. NCBI's taxonomy places the organism in Eukaryota, Viridiplantae, Streptophyta, Magnoliopsida, Asterales, Asteraceae. The transcript is spliced from 2 exons.
ACUGCAUACCAAAAAUCAGUCGAUACAGUUUUGAAUUGGAUCAGUAAAGAAGUAGAUACAAAUAAGACACAAGUUGUUUUCCGAAGCUUUUCUCCUGUGCAUUUCAGGGGCGGUGAUUGGAAGUCCGGCGGUAGCUGCCACCUCGAGACACUGCCAGACUUAAGUUCAUCACCAGUUUCACCGAGCACAAUGUUUUUCCCGAACAUAGUUGGCUCGGUGCUAUCCAAACACAAUAACGGGUCAUCAUCACAAACAACAUUGGACUUAUUAAACGUGACAUACAUGUCAUCAAAGCGAAAAGAUGGUCAUGCAUCUGUAUAUUAUUUGGGCCCGAAAGAUGGUGGGCCCGCACCUUUACGCAGGCAAGACUGCAGCCAUUGGUGCUUACCUGGCGUCCUAGAUUCUUGGAACGAGCUUCUGUAUGCAGUCUUUCUUAAACGUGAAUAUUCCGCUGGGAAUUAUACAGCCGAUAGUCCACAGCCAAUGUGAUCUACGGUAACGAAAGGCAGGACGAUGAAAGCGGACAAUGGAUAGUUUAAGAUCUUGGUGAGGUGGGUUUAUCAGUGGCGGUCUUAAAGAUUGUGGUGGUCGUUGAAAGCGGCAUAAUUGUGAUGGGAGUUCAGUGCCAAUUGCAUUGAUGAGAAAUAGCAUUUGAUUUGUAAAGAUUUAGGGGAGUUUUUACAUGUAAAGUUGGGGUGGUUGGGUAUAGAAAGCAUUGAUUCAUUCAUCUUUGAAUUGAAUAGAAAAGAAAUACAUAUUUUGGUGUUAAAAAAAAA